This is a long non-coding RNA of Sapajus apella (tufted capuchin), 119 nucleotides long. RefSeq lists it as uncharacterized. The transcript has 3 exons. NCBI's taxonomy places the organism in Eukaryota, Metazoa, Chordata, Mammalia, Primates, Cebidae. The record is from RefSeq and is a predicted model, not a curated record.
UGAUCCACCCACCUCGGCCUCCCAAAGAACUGGUUUCUUAUUCUCUAAACAGCUGACUGAAUGUGAGUAUGUGGAGUUUAACCACAGAGGAAAGAUAAUGAAAAUAUGAGCAUUGGGAC